This 440-nucleotide ribosomal RNA is filed under the name uncultured Novosphingobium sp. RNAcentral describes it as "bacterial SSU rRNA". It matches the Rfam family "Bacterial small subunit ribosomal RNA", at positions 338 to 795 of the family's 1533-position model. Lineage: Bacteria; Pseudomonadati; Pseudomonadota; Alphaproteobacteria; Sphingomonadales; Sphingomonadaceae. The record is from RNAcentral.
CCUACGGGCGGCUGCAGUGGGGAAUAUUGGACAAUGGGCGAAAGCCUGAUCCAGCAAUGCCGCGUGAGUGAUGAAGGCCUUAGGGUUGUAAAGCUCUUUUACCAGGGAUGAUAAUGACAGUACCUGGAGAAUAAGCUCCGGCUAACUCCGUGCCAGCAGCCGCGGUAAUACGGAGGGAGCUAGCGUUGUUCGGAAUUACUGGGCGUAAAGCGCACGUAGGCGGCUACUCAAGUCAGAGGUGAAAGCCCAGGGCUCAACCCUGGAACUGCCUUUGAAACUAGGUAGCUAGAAUCUUGGAGAGGUCAGUGGAAUUCCGAGUGUAGAGGUGAAAUUCGUAGAUAUUCGGAAGAACACCAGUGGCGAAGGCGACUGACUGGACAAGUAUUGACGCUGAGGUGCGAAAGCGUGGGGAGCAAACAGGAUUAGAUACCCCAGUAGUC